RNAcentral lists this ribosomal RNA (252 nucleotides) under uncultured Bacteroidales bacterium. RNAcentral describes it as "partial 16S ribosomal RNA". It matches the Rfam family "Bacterial small subunit ribosomal RNA", at positions 524 to 776 of the family's 1533-position model. Lineage: Bacteria; Pseudomonadati; Bacteroidota; Bacteroidia; Bacteroidales. The record is from RNAcentral.
UACGGAGGAUGCGAGCGUUAUCCGGAUUUAUUGGGUUUAAAGGGUGCGUAGGCGGAGUGUCAAGUCAGCGGUAAAAUUUCGGGGCUCAACCCCGUCGUGCCGUUGAAACUGGGGGGCUUGAGUUCAGGCGAGGUAGGCGGAAUUCGUGGUGUAGCGGUGAAAUGCAUAGAUAUCACGAAGAACUCCGAUUGCGAAGGCAGCAUACCGGCGCCCGACUGACGCUGAGGCACGAAAGCGUGGGGAUCGAACAGG